This 30-nucleotide non-coding RNA is filed under the name Homo sapiens (human). Lineage: Eukaryota; Metazoa; Chordata; Mammalia; Primates; Hominidae. The record is from RNAcentral.
UCACAUGAGAAAAGUGCCUAAGCUGGUUCC